CCCUUAGAUGUCCUGGGCCGCACGCGCGCUACACUGAGUGUCUGAGAUACGAGUCUGCCUGGUCCGGCAAGGUCUAGGUAAUCGCUAAAAGACACAUCAUGCUUGGGAUAGAUUAUUGCAAAUAUUAAUCUUGAACGAGGAAUUCCUAGUAAGCGCAAGUCAACAGCUUGCGUUGAUUACGUCCCUGCCCUUUGUACACACCGCCCGUCGCUACUACUGACUGGAUGUUUAAGCGAGGUUCUCGAACUGCUAGCGACUUAGCUUCGGUGAGGUCGCAGUGUGGGAAGUGAACCUAGCUUUGGUGUCUAGAGGAAGUAAAAGUCGUAACA
This 329-nucleotide ribosomal RNA is filed under the name uncultured eukaryote. RNAcentral describes it as "partial 18S ribosomal RNA". It matches the Rfam family "Eukaryotic small subunit ribosomal RNA", at positions 1470 to 1796 of the family's 1831-position model. The record is from RNAcentral.